UGCUGCCUUGUCAAAUUCAGUGCUUCCUCUACAAUGGACCGUACUGGCCAUAAUGACUGCCACAGUGAAACUGUAGUUAUCGGACUCACAACCAUACAGAAUGAGUGUUAGGGAUGAACUUGAACUACAGAGAAUU
Small nucleolar RNA from Oncorhynchus kisutch (coho salmon), 136 nucleotides. NCBI's taxonomy places the organism in Eukaryota, Metazoa, Chordata, Actinopteri, Salmoniformes, Salmonidae. The record is from Ensembl.